UGUAGUCUCGCACAGAUGCAUAUCAAUAAGCGGAGGAAAAGAAACUAACAAGGAUUCCCUCAGUAACGGCGAGUGAAGCGGGAAGAGCUCAAAUUUGAAAUCUUGAAAGGUCACCUUUCACGAAUUGUAGUUUAAAGAAGUGUUUUCUGUUACGAUCGUAAUAUAAGUUCUUUGGAAUAGGACAUCACAGAGGGUGAGAAUCCCGUCUAUGAUUGCGAUUUGUAGCUUUGUGAUACACUUUCAAAGAGUCGGGUUGUUUGGGAAUGCAGCCCAAAACGGGAGGUAAAUUUCUUCUAAGGCUAAAUAUUGGCGAGAGACCGAUAGCGAACAAGUACCGUGAGGGAAAGAUGAAAAGAACUUUGAAAAGAGAGUUAAAUAGUACGUGAAAUUGUCAAAAGGGAAGCGUUUAACACCAGUGUUGUUUUCUGAAAAUCAACCUCUGUUGGCUUUAUGCAUGUUUGUUUAGACCUAAUCAGCUAUCUUGCAUGUUCUAUUGUUUGCAGUGGUGCACUUUUCAGUUUACAGGUCAACAUCAGUUUUUUUUACCGUAAAAAAGUUAAAGAAAGGUAGCUCAUGGCUCCGGUCGUGAGUGUUAUAGUCUUUUUCCUAUGCGGUAGGAGAGACUGAGGUCUGCAGUGUAGGCUAUUUGGCUAGAUACUCAGGUGCUAUGUGAUACCAUUUCAUAAACAACUUGUUGAUUAUGUUUUGUCUAUUGCAUACUCGCUUGUACUAUCAUACCUACGCUUAGGAUGUUGAAGAUGUAGCACAUCAU
Molecule: ribosomal RNA, 772 nt
Filed under: uncultured Neocallimastigales
Lineage: Eukaryota; Fungi; Neocallimastigomycota; Neocallimastigomycetes; Neocallimastigales
Description: partial large subunit ribosomal RNA
Rfam family: Eukaryotic large subunit ribosomal RNA
Source: RNAcentral